Molecule: ribosomal RNA, 2573 nt
Filed under: Clostridioides difficile
Lineage: Bacteria; Bacillati; Bacillota; Clostridia; Peptostreptococcales; Peptostreptococcaceae
Description: bacterial LSU rRNA
Rfam family: Bacterial large subunit ribosomal RNA
Source: RNAcentral
AGGGUGCAGGGCGGAUGCCUUGGCACUAGGAGCCGAUGAAGGACGUGAUAAGCUGCGAUAAGCUUCGGGGAGUUGCACGUAAACUUUGAUCCGAAGAUUUCCGAAUGAGGAAACUCACUUAGAGUAAUGUCUAAGUAUCAUUAAGUGAAUACAUAGCUUAAUGAGGGGAACUCAGGGAACUGAAACAUCUAAGUACCUGAAGGAAGAGAAAGAAAUUCGAUUCCGUAAGUAGCGGCGAGCGAACGCGGAUUAGCCCAAACCAAUAAAGUUUUCUUUAUUGGGGUUGCGGACAUAUCAUAACGAAGAGGUAUCGUAAUUGAAGAGGUUUGGAAAGACCCACCACAGAAGGUAAUAGUCCUGUAUGUUAAACGAGAAGACUUUAGAUAUGAUCCAGAGUACCACGGGACACGUGAAACCCUGUGGGAAGCAGGAGGGACCACCCUCCAAGGCUAAAUACUACCUAGUGACCGAUAGCGUAUAGUACCGUGAGGGAAAGGUGAAAAGAACCCCGGGAGGGGAGUGAAAUAGAACCUGAAACCCUGCACUUACAAGCUGUGGAAGCACAUUUCUUGUGUGACCGCGUACUUUUUGUAGAACGGGCCAACGAGUUACGUUAAGUAGCAAGGUUAAGCACUUAAGGUGUGGAGCCGUAGCGAAAGCGAGUUUUAACUGAGCGUUCAGUUACUUGACGUAGACCCGAAACCGGGCGACCUACCCAUGAGCAGGAUGAAGCGAAAGUAAAAUUUCGUGGAGGUCCGAACCCACGAGCGUUGAAAAGCUCGGGGAUGACUUGUGGGUAGCGGUGAAAUUCCAAUCGAGCCCGGAGAUAGCUGGUUCUCCCCGAAAUAGCUUUAGGGCUAGCCUCAAGGUGAGAGAUACGGAGGUAGAGCACUGAAUGUCCUAGGGGGUAUUGCACCUACCGAAGACUAUCAAACUCCGAAUGCCGUCAUCUUAUACUUGGGAGUCAGACUGUGGGUGAUAAGAUUCAUAGUCGAAAGGGCAACAGCCCAGAUCGUCAGCUAAGGUCCCUAAAUGUAAGUUAAGUGGUAAAGGAUGUGGGAUUGCACAGACAACCAGGAUGUUGGCUUAGAAGCAGCCACUCAUUCAAAGAGUGCGUAAUAGCUCACUGGUCGAGUGAUCCUGCGCCGAAGAUUUCCGGGGCUAAAACUUACUACCGAAGCUACGGCAUCAGUAAUGAUGGGUAGGGGAGCUUCCCAUACGGGUUGAAGCAUGACCGUAAGGACAUGUGGACAGUAUGGGAGUGAGAAUGUUGGCAUGAGUAGCGAGAUGUGGGUGAGAAUCCCACAGGCCGUAAACCCAAGGUUUCCAGGGGAAGGUUCGUCCGCCCUGGGUUAGUCGGGACCUAAGCUGAGGCCGAAAGGCGUAGGUGAUGGACAACAGGUUGAUAUUCCUGUACUACCGAUAACCGUUUGAGAGAAGGGAUGACACAGUAGGAUAAGCUAAGCACACUGUUGGUUAUGUGUGCCCAAGCAUUGAGGCAGUCAAAGUAGGCAAAUCCGCUUUGAUAAUGCUAGGAUGUGAUGGGGAGCGAAAUUUAGUAGCGAAGUAGCUGAUUUCACACUGUCAAGAAAAGUCUCUAUCGAGGUUAAAGGUACCCGUACCGCAAACCGACACAGGUGGGUGAGGAGAGUAUCCUAAGGCCAGCGAGAGAACUGUUGUUAAGGAACUCGGCAAAAUGACCCCGUAACUUAGGGAUAAGGGGUGCCACCAUCAGGUGGCCGCAGAGAAUAGGCCCAAGCGACUGUUUACCAAAAACAUAGGUUUCUGCUAAGUCGCAAGACGAUGUAUAGGAGCUGACGCCUGCCCGGUGCUGGAAGGUUAAGGGGAUCUGUUAGAGCAAUCGAAGCAGUGAACUUAAGCCCCAGUAAACGGCGGCCGUAACUAUAACGGUCCUAAGGUAGCGAAAUUCCUUGUCGGGUAAGUUCCGACCCGCACGAAAGGCGUAACGAUUUGGGCACUGUCUCAACAACAGACUCGGUGAAAUUGUAAUUCCGGUGAAGAUGCCGGAUACCUGCGACAGGACGGAAAGACCCCAUGGAGCUUUACUGUAGCUUGACAUUGGGUCUUGGUACUACAUGUACAGGAUAGGUGGGAGGCUUUGAAACCAGGACGCCAGUUUUGGCGGAGCCAUCCUUGGGAUACCACCCUUGUAGUACUGGGACUCUAACCAUAGGCCAUGAAUCUGGUCUUGGGACACUGUCAGGUGGGCAGUUUGACUGGGGCGGUCGCCUCCCAAAAGGUAACGGAGGCGCUCAAAGGUUCUCUCAGUACGGUCGGAAAUCGUACGUAGAGUGUAAAGGCAAAAGAGAGCUUGAUUGCAAGACAUACAGGUCGAGCAAGGAUGAAAAUCGGACUUAGUGAUCCGGUGGUUCUGCGUGGAAGGGCCAUCGCUCAACGGAUAAAAGCUACCCUGGGGAUAACAGGCUUAUCUCCCCCAAGAGUCCACAUCGACGGGGAGGUUUGGCACCUCGAUGUCGGCUCAUCACAUCCUGGGGCUGUAGUAGGUCCCAAGGGUUGGGCUGUUCGCCCAUUAAAGUGGUACGCGAGCUGGG